ACGAUUCCUACGGGAGGCAGCAGUGGGGAAUUUUCCGCAAUGGGCGAAAGCCUGACGGAGCAAUGCCGCGUGGAGGCAGAAGGCCUACGGGUCCUGAACUUCUUUUCCCAGAGAAGAAGCAAUGACGGUAUCUGGGGAAUAAGCAUCGGCUAACUCUGUGCCAGCAGCCGCGGUAAUAAU
This 180-nucleotide ribosomal RNA is filed under the name uncultured Enterococcus sp. Its description in RNAcentral is "partial 16S ribosomal RNA". It matches the Rfam family "Bacterial small subunit ribosomal RNA", at positions 332 to 527 of the family's 1533-position model. The record is from RNAcentral. Lineage: Bacteria; Bacillati; Bacillota; Bacilli; Lactobacillales; Enterococcaceae.